Molecule: long non-coding RNA, 260 nt
Filed under: Lathyrus oleraceus (garden pea)
Lineage: Eukaryota; Viridiplantae; Streptophyta; Magnoliopsida; Fabales; Fabaceae
Description: Pisum sativum (pea) long non-coding RNA (PSAT_LNC038199)
Source: RNAcentral
GACACAAAAAUGAAUUUUUAUUAUUGUACUCGCCAGAGUGUUACAACUCUAUGCAUACGCACCCUCAAGCAAUAUGAGGGAUCAAACCACCGUAGUUCGUCUAAAAAAUAUUAUGUGUUGAUUAUUUUUUAAUUUUUAUAAGAUCUCAACGCACUAAGGUGAAUAAAGAUUUUCUUAAAAAAAUCUCAAUGCACAAGGGUUGAGAAAGUAGUGUUUUGAUGUGUUUGGAAUGAUUUUAGAUUAUUUAAUUGAUAAGGUGU